This 652-nucleotide small RNA is filed under the name Pongo abelii (Sumatran orangutan). RNAcentral's name for it is "retained intron". The record is from RNAcentral. Lineage: Eukaryota; Metazoa; Chordata; Mammalia; Primates; Hominidae.
AGGUCUGUGGAUUUAAACUUUCUUCCGUCGGUUGAUCCUGAAACGGUUCUUCAGACAGGGCAUGAAUUGUUAUCCGAAUUACAGCAGCGUCGAUUUAAUGGCUCAGAUGGAGGGGUUUCAUGGUCUCCUAUGGAUGAUGAACUUCUUGCACAGCCACAGGUUAUGAAAUUAUUAGAUUCACUCCGAGAGCAAUAUACCCGCUACCAGGAAGUUUGUAGGCAACGUAGCAAGCGCACACAGUUAGAAGAGAUUCAACAGAAGGUAAUGCAGGUUGUGAACUGGCUAGAAGGGCCUGGAUCAGAACAACUAAGAGCCCAGUGGGGCAUUGGAGACUCCAUUAGGGCCUCCCAGGCCCUACAGCAGAAACACGAAGAGAUUGAGAGCCAGCACAGUGUGAGAGGCUUUUUCCUCUGCAAGUUACAAUGCUAUUAUGAACGUGGGUAAUUAGUAGCAUAUGUGGUACUGAGUGAUAAGUUGCUGCAAACUUUGGUAUGGGGCAUGAAUUACAGUUUGUUAAGUGCCUAGAGGUCAUAAAGUACAUUUUGAUUACUUAGUACAUGUUAAUUAGAAGGUUGUUUUUGGUUUUGUCUCUAAUGCAGUUUAAUUAUAUUUUUAUAGAAGCACAAUUUGCAUGAAAUUUUAAAAGCUACAG